Molecule: transfer RNA, 79 nt
Filed under: Thermoproteota archaeon
Lineage: Archaea; Thermoproteati; Thermoproteota
Also listed under: 2 other names
Description: tRNA-Gly
Rfam family: tRNA
About the family: Transfer RNA (tRNA) molecules are approximately 80 nucleotides in length. Their secondary structure includes four short double-helical elements and three loops (D, anti-codon, and T loops). Further hydrogen bonds mediate the characteristic L-shaped molecular structure. tRNAs have two regions of fundamental functional importance: the anti-codon, which is responsible for specific mRNA codon recognition, and the 3' end, to which the tRNAs corresponding amino acid is attached (by aminoacyl-tRNA synthetases). tRNAs cope with the degeneracy of the genetic code in two manners: having more than one tRNA (with a specific anti-codon) for a particular amino acid; and 'wobble' base-pairing, i.e. permitting non-standard base-pairing at the 3rd anti-codon position.
Source: RNAcentral
GCGGCCGUGGUCUAGCCUGGUUUAGGACGCAGGCCCCCCAAGCCUGUAAUCCCGGGUUCAAAUCCCGGCGGCCGCACCA